GGAUUGCGCGGUGCGACGGGGCGGCACCACCUGACUGUAAAUCAGGAGUCUCUGACGUAUCCAGGUUCGAAUCCUGGGCAAUCCACCA
RNAcentral lists this transfer RNA (88 nucleotides) under Gammaproteobacteria bacterium. RNAcentral's name for it is "tRNA-Tyr". It matches the Rfam family "tRNA". From Rfam's summary of the family: Transfer RNA (tRNA) molecules are approximately 80 nucleotides in length. Their secondary structure includes four short double-helical elements and three loops (D, anti-codon, and T loops). Further hydrogen bonds mediate the characteristic L-shaped molecular structure. tRNAs have two regions of fundamental functional importance: the anti-codon, which is responsible for specific mRNA codon recognition, and the 3' end, to which the tRNAs corresponding amino acid is attached (by aminoacyl-tRNA synthetases). tRNAs cope with the degeneracy of the genetic code in two manners: having more than one tRNA (with a specific anti-codon) for a particular amino acid; and 'wobble' base-pairing, i.e. permitting non-standard base-pairing at the 3rd anti-codon position. Lineage: Bacteria; Pseudomonadati; Pseudomonadota; Gammaproteobacteria. The record is from RNAcentral.